Molecule: ribosomal RNA, 779 nt
Filed under: uncultured bacterium
Lineage: Bacteria
Description: bacterial SSU rRNA
Rfam family: Bacterial small subunit ribosomal RNA
Source: RNAcentral
AGUCGAGCGAAUCUUUGGGAGCUUGCUCCCAUUGAUUAGCGGCGGACGGGUGAGUAACACGUGGGCAACCUGCCUGUAAGACUGGGAUAACACCGGGAAACCGGUGCUAAUACCGGAUAAUCCUUUCCCUCUCAUGAGGGAAAGCUGAAAGACGGUUUCGGCUGUCACUUACAGAUGGGCCCGCGGCGCAUUAGCUAGUUGGUGAGGUAACGGCUCACCAAGGCGACGAUGCGUAGCCGACCUGAGAGGGUGAUCGGCCACACUGGGACUGAGACACGGCCCAGACUCCUACGGGAGGCAGCAGUAGGGAAUCUUCCGCAAUGGACGAAAGUCUGACGGAGCAACGCCGCGUGAGCGAUGAAGGCCUUCGGGUCGUAAAGCUCUGUUGUUAGGGAAGAACAAGUACCGGAGUAACUGCCGGUACCUUGACGGUACCUAACCAGAAGGCCACGGCUAACUACGUGCCAGCAGCCGCGGUAAUACGUAGGUGGCAAGCGUUGUCCGGAAUUAUUGGGCGUAAAGCGCGCGCAGGCGGUCCUUUAAGUCUGAUGUGAAAGCCCACGGCUCAACCGUGGAGGGUCAUUGGAAACUGGGGGACUUGAGUGCAGAAGAGGAAAGCGGAAUUCCACGUGUAGCGGUGAAAUGCGUAGAGAUGUGGAGGAACACCAGUGGCGAAGGCGGCUUUCUGGUCUGUAACUGACGCUGAGGCGCGAAAGCGUGGGGAGCAAACAGGAUUAGAUACCCUGGUAGUCCACGCCGUANACGAUGAGUGCUAAGUG